UAGAUGAUGAAAUGAAUCUUCACCUGAGGAAGGACAAAGAACAAACUGUAACUUAGUCACGACUCAAAAUCCCCAAUUUGGAACCAUAAAAAGGUCAAAAGUAGCAUCCAUAAUUUAUCUUUCUAAAUUCUUGCGAGUGUUUUUAAAUUGUGCUCUCAAUCAGAAAUGUAUACUACGUGGCCCAUUUACUAGCAUAUUUUGCUAUACUAGCCCCGGUAAUUGUCACUGGGCAGAUUGUAGUGUUAGAAUAAUAAUGAAUUAUGGGCUUCUCGUUUGAUUGCAAAUUUUACGGAUUAAAUAUAUGACUCAUAAUGAUAAUGUGAUUAAGCUCAAUAUGUUAAGUGAUCAUUUGGACUAUUUUACACCUUACGAAUUAUAUUUUAUAUAAUUUUGUAAUUUAAGUCUGUGGGCCAAAAAUAUAUAAACCCUAAUUGGGUUUAAGUAAUUAAUGAAACGGCUCAAUAAAUUUUUAUAUAAAAGGCCCCCCGUUCCUCUCCAUAUCGUUUUAUUGGUUUGCACCCAUUAACAAUCAAUAUUUUUGAAGAGUAAGAAGAGGAAGAUCUAACUGCUAAUAUUCAUAUCUAAGAUGUCUUUUCCGCAAGUAUGAAUCUUAAACUAUCAAUUUGGAAUUGUGAUUCUUGUUUCUUAACAUGAUUAUUGUUAAAUUCAACAACUAUAUAAGAGCUUCAUGCUAAUAUCAUAAUCCUUUAUAAAACCAGUAUUCUUUCUCAAUCUCUAACUGAAUAAUUCUAAAGUUUCUAAUUUUUACUUGUUAGAAAUUGUUUUGCAUCAUCGAAUAAUCAAACGUUGGCUGAUCAUGUUGUUCUUGUUUUUUUAGCAGUUUUUCCAUUGCCAAACCCGCUAAAUCUUAUUCUUUAUCAUCCGUCCCACGAAAAUCAAUCGCAUCAAAACCCAACUCUACAUUUUUAAUGGCGAAGCUUCCAUCAAUUUCUUGAGAACGGAAUCGCGAAAAAAGGGUCAGAAGUCAAUACUUCCAAUACACUAUCUCUCUUCUAACCCUUGGUCUUCCGAAGCCUCGCUUUGUGCAAUCAAUCAACAUUCUCAUCUCUUUUAGAUCUCAUAGUUGCCACUCAUUUUGUCGUCUUUAUUUAUGGUUUUUUUUUCCUUCAGAAAAUUUGGUCAUGGAAAAUUUCAAAUUCGAUCCAAAUUUGCCUUGUUUAGUAUAGGGUUUUCUUGUUUUCUUAAUUAAUGGCUUCUCCAGAUAUAUCUCUUGAUGAUAUGAUAAAGAGCAGGUGAAAUAGUGAUAGAGGCUCACGAAGGUCCUUUAGAGGUGGAAGGAGUACUGAAGUUCCUAGGAGAGGUCAAUGGUGAAUUUAGAUAAAGAUGGCGAUGUGGGAGUUGGUGAUUGGUGGCGCCGCCUGAGAGAAAAGUGUGAUGGCUUCAGAGAUGGGAGCCUCUAUUGCAAUUUGUCAAAUUGGAUGCCCCUAUUUGCAAUUAAGAUAUUAUGGUCAUAUUGCAAUUUUUAAAGUAGGGACCUAUCAUGCAAUUUUUCGAAAUUGAAGGACCUGUUUUUAAUUUUAAAUCAAGGGUCAAAAUACAAUUUUCGAAAAGAGGUAUUAAAUUUGAAUUUUAAAAGGGGUUUAAAAUUAUAUUUCAGAUGGAUUUGACCGACAUUUUAAUUUUGAACCAAAAAAAUUGACGACUUUAAUUUUUUGUUAAAAUGUUUAUACAUUUAAAUGUUGUUAUUAUUUAUCCAUUUAAAGUUCAC
RNAcentral lists this long non-coding RNA (1729 nucleotides) under Olea europaea subsp. europaea. Lineage: Eukaryota; Viridiplantae; Streptophyta; Magnoliopsida; Lamiales; Oleaceae. The record is from RNAcentral.